This is a small nucleolar RNA of Tetrahymena thermophila SB210, 123 nucleotides long. It matches the Rfam family "Tetrahymena snoRNA TtnuHACA20". Lineage: Eukaryota; Ciliophora; Oligohymenophorea; Hymenostomatida; Tetrahymenidae. The record is from Rfam.
AAAGCAUGGAUAAUUGGAUUUCAGCAAAUAUUCGUGAAGAUUUCUGCAGAAAUUGAAGUAAAUAGCAGUUUAUGAAUUAAACGACAUUCAUGAUGUUUAAAUCACUGGCCUGCGCUUACAUUU